GACGAACGCUGGCGGCGCGCCUAACACAUGCAAGUCGAACGAGAGAUGAGGAGCUUGCUCUUCAAAUCGAGUGGCGAACGGGUGAGUAACGCGUGAGGAACCUGCCUCAAAGAGGGGGACAACAGUUGGAAACGACUGCUAAUACCGCAUAAGCCCACGGCUCGGCAUCGAGCAGAGGGAAAAGGAGUAAUCCGCUUUGAGAUGGCCUCGCGUCCGAUUAGCUAGUUGGUGAGGUAAUGGCCCACCAAGGCGACGAUCGGUAGCCGGACUGAGAGGUUGAACGGCCACAUUGGGACUGAGACACGGCCCAGACUCCUACGGGAGGCAGCAGUGGGGAAUAUUGCACAAUGGGGGAAACCCUGAUGCAGCGACGCCGCGUGGAGGAAGAAGGUCUUCGGAUUGUAAACUCCUGUUGUUGAGGAAGAUAAUGACGGUACUCAACAAGGAAGUGACGGCUA
RNAcentral lists this ribosomal RNA (458 nucleotides) under uncultured bacterium. Its description in RNAcentral is "bacterial SSU rRNA". It matches the Rfam family "Bacterial small subunit ribosomal RNA", at positions 28 to 499 of the family's 1533-position model. The record is from RNAcentral.